UGCAGUCGACGAUGAACCGCUUUCGGGCGGGGAUUAGUGGCGAACGGGUGAGUAACAUGUGGGCAAUCUGCCCUGCACUCUGGGACAAGCCCUGGAAACGGGGUCUAAUACCGGAUAUGACCGUCUGCCGCAUGGUGGAUGGUGUAAAGCUCCGGCGGUGCAGGAUGAGCCCGCGGCCUAUCAGCUUGUUGGUGAGGUAGUGGCUCACCAAGGCGACGACGGGUAGCCGGCCUGAGAGGGCGACCGGCCACACUGGGACUGAGACACGGCCCAGACUCCUACGGGAGGCAGCAGUGGGGAAUAUUGCACAAUGGGCGAAAGCCUGAUGCAGCGACGCCGCGUGAGGGAUGACGGCCUUCGGGUUGUAAACCUCUUUCAGCAGGGAAGAAGCGAAAGUGACGGUACCUGCAGAAGAAGCGCCGGCUAACUACGUGCCAGCAGCCGCGGUAAUACGUAGGGCGCAAGCGUUGUCCGGAAAUAAUUGGGCGUAAAGAGCUCGUAGGCGGCUUGUCACGUCCGGUGGGAAAAGCCCGGGGGUUAACCCCGGGUCUGGAGUCAUACGGGCAGGUAAGAUCCGUAAGGGAAAUCGGAAUUCCGG
RNAcentral lists this ribosomal RNA (598 nucleotides) under Streptomyces sp. 7CM35. RNAcentral describes it as "bacterial SSU rRNA". It matches the Rfam family "Bacterial small subunit ribosomal RNA", at positions 56 to 672 of the family's 1533-position model. Lineage: Bacteria; Bacillati; Actinomycetota; Actinomycetes; Kitasatosporales; Streptomycetaceae. The record is from RNAcentral.